UACUCUUGAGAGAUUAGUAGCUGCAAAACACUACCUGAAAACAGAUUAUAAGUUGCAUGUAAGAAGUUCAUCAUCCACUGCAGACCACUGCUGUUUAUUUGCACUGAGUGAGCAGAGUGGAGCAUUCUCAAAGGAGUGUGCUGAUCAUGAUCAUACUGACAUUUGCGGACACUGUAGUUUCUUGAAUGAGACUUUAUCUCACAUAUCCCAGGAGACAGCAGAGAAACAUUGGGAUAACCCUGAAGCGUUUUGUUUCAAAGUGGAUAAAGCUGUUUCGGAUAUUUAUGAAUGGAAGCGUCAUAUUUUACUUUCAAAAAACCAA
Ostrea edulis (European flat oyster) is the source of this 322-nucleotide long non-coding RNA. RefSeq lists it as uncharacterized. The transcript is spliced from 3 exons. The record is from RefSeq and is a predicted model, not a curated record. Lineage: Eukaryota; Metazoa; Mollusca; Bivalvia; Ostreida; Ostreidae.